AAUGAAACUCAAAGGAAUUGACGGGGGCCCGCACAAGCGGUGGAGCAUGUGGUUUAAUUCGAAGCAACGCGAAGAACCUUACCAGGUCUUGACAUACUCAUAAAGGCUCCAGAGAUGGAGAGAUAGCUAUAUGAGAUACAGGUGGUGCAUGGUUGUCGUCAGCUCGUGUCGUGAGAUGUUGGGUUAAGUCCCGCAACGAGCGCAACCCUUAUCGUUAGUUACCAUCAUUAAGUUGGGGACUCUAGCGAGACUGCCAGUGACAAGCUGGAGGAAGGCGGGGAUGACGUCAAAUCAUCAUGCCCCUUAUGACCUGGGCUACACACGUGCUACAAUGGAUGGUGCAGAGGGAAGCGAAGCCGCGAGGUGAAGCAAAACCCAUAAAACCAUUCUCAGUUCGGAUUGUAGUCUGCAACUCGACUACAUGAAGUUGGAAUCGCUAGUAAUCGCGAAUCAGCAUGUCGCGGUGAAUACGUUCUCGGGCCUUGUACACACCGCCCGUC
This 500-nucleotide ribosomal RNA is filed under the name uncultured bacterium. Its description in RNAcentral is "bacterial SSU rRNA". It matches the Rfam family "Bacterial small subunit ribosomal RNA", at positions 893 to 1398 of the family's 1533-position model. The record is from RNAcentral.